GAUGAACGCUGGCGGCGUGCCUAAUACAUGCAAGUCGAGCGAACAGACGAGGGGCUUGCUCCUUUGACGUUAGCGGCGGACGGGUGAGUAACACGUAGGUAACCUACCUAUAAGACUGGGAUAACUUCGGGAAACCGGAGCUAAUACCGGAUAAUAUUUCGAACCGCAUGGUUCGAUAGUGAAAGAUGGCUUUGCUAUCACUUAUAGAUGGACCUGCGCCGUAUUAGCUAGUUGGUAAGGUAACGGCUUACCAAGGCAACGAUACGUAGCCGACCUGAGAGGGUGAUCGGCCACACUGGAGCUGAGACACGGUCCAGACUCCUACGGGAGGCAGCAGUAGGGAAUCUUCCGCAAUGGGCGAAAGCCUGACGGAGCAAAGCCGCGUGAGUGAUGAAGGUCUUCGGAUCGUAAAACUCUGUUAUUAGGGAAGAACAAACGUGUAAGUAACUGUGCACGUCUUGACGGUACCUAAUCAGAAAGCCACGGCUAACUACGUG
This 497-nucleotide ribosomal RNA is filed under the name uncultured bacterium. RNAcentral's name for it is "partial 16S ribosomal RNA". It matches the Rfam family "Bacterial small subunit ribosomal RNA", at positions 28 to 507 of the family's 1533-position model. The record is from RNAcentral.